Rhineura floridana is the source of this 240-nucleotide long non-coding RNA. RefSeq lists it as uncharacterized. The record is from RefSeq and is a predicted model, not a curated record. NCBI's taxonomy places the organism in Eukaryota, Metazoa, Chordata, Lepidosauria, Squamata, Rhineuridae. The transcript has 3 exons.
AGGAGGAGGAAAGAGAUGGAGAUUGCUGCAGCUGUAACACCAGAAAGGUUUUCAGCAACAGGAGACACAGUGUGCAAGGGAGUCAGUGAGCAAGUGAGAGACUGACCUGAUUCCUCACAUACGAGGAAACAGAGGGGCUUACUCCUAUUUCUACAACAGAGGCAGCAUGGCGGAUGCUCUUCCUGACAGCAUCAUCACAAAAGACUAUUGGAUUCCUAUUCUUUUCAUCUAAGCUAGAGC